This 497-nucleotide ribosomal RNA is filed under the name uncultured bacterium. Its description in RNAcentral is "partial 16S ribosomal RNA". It matches the Rfam family "Bacterial small subunit ribosomal RNA", at positions 28 to 507 of the family's 1533-position model. The record is from RNAcentral.
GAUGAACGCUGGCGGCGUGCCUAAUACAUGCAAGUCGAGCGGACGGACGAGAAGCUUUCUUAUCUGAUGGUAGCGGCGGACGGGUGAGUAAGACGUGGAUAACCUACCUAUAUUACGGGGAUAACUUCGGGAAACCGUAGCUAAUGCCGGAUAAUAUUUUGAACGGCAUGGUUCAAAAGUGAAUGACGGUCUUGCUGUCACUUAUAGAUGGAUCCGCGCUGCAUUAGCUAGUUGGUAAGGUAACGGCUUACCAAGGCAACGAUGCAUAGCCGACCUGAGAGGAUGAUCGGCCACACUGGAACUGAGACACGGUCCAGACUCCUACGGGAGGCAGCAGUAGGGAAUAUUCCACAAUGGGCGAAAGCCUGACGGAGCAACGCCGCGUGAGUGAUGAAGGUCUUCGGAUCGUAAAGCUCUGUUAUUAGGGAAGAACAUAUGUGUAAGUAUCUCUGGACAUCUUGACGGUACCUAAUCAGAAAGCAACGGCUAACUACGUG